This 1206-nucleotide small RNA is filed under the name Oryza sativa Japonica Group (Japanese rice). Its description in RNAcentral is "misc RNA Os08g0226600". Lineage: Eukaryota; Viridiplantae; Streptophyta; Magnoliopsida; Poales; Poaceae. The record is from RNAcentral.
GUGCUUAGAAUAUUUGGUACUAUCCUUUAGAAUCAUUACACAAAUGCAACAGACUAUUUUCUGUCUUUGCUGAUGAUUGCUAAUGCAGCUCGAACUUAUGGGAGUAAAAAAGCCCUGAGAAUACUUUGCGUAUGCAUCUUGUUUGAUCGGGCAUUUUUCUUUGAUGCAACUUGAGUUUAUGUUUGUUGAUGACUGUCGUUGAUGGAGCUGCUCCUGCCAAGGUGGCCUUUUUGGCGAUGGAGUAGAACUGUCUGAAUUUUUUUAUCACACCACAAGAACGGAUUUUGUUUGUGGUACCAUUUUUUGUAUAUAUAAAACAUAUUUUGGUUGUAUAUAUAUAGAAUAGGAUGUAUCUACCGUUCUUGUGGUGUUGUUCAUGUGUUUGGAUGUAAUAUGGGGUUAAAAUUGAGCUACGUGCUAGGGGAUCUGUUGGGGUGGGCCUGAAUGUACCAUGGGCCUGAACAGAUCUACGGACGUGAGAGGGAAUCGGAAAUUGUGGACCGAUCUGGGAGGGAGCGAUCUGGAAGGAAUUGGACAGAAAUAAUCGCGUGUGCACUCGGGAGGAAAUCGGACUAAAAAAUCGCAAUACAGGGUGUGAAUUGGAUUGAAAAAUCAUGCAUUACUGGGACGACGUACGAAAAAUCCCUGACAAAAACAUCUUAAACUUUUAUAAUAGGUAAAGACUAGAAAAAUACCCAUGCGUUGCUACGGGAGGAAAAGACCGUGGAAGCGGGCGUCGUUCUAUGGCAGAGUCCGUAAUGUCAACGAAGGAGUAAUCGUGGCGGAGCUGGUGGAGGUAGUGUCCAGACACCUUGGUGGUUGAUGGCACAUCGCCGACGAAGCUUAGUGCGGCCGACUACAGCAAGACGGCGUCAGGAGCUCUUGCCGGCAUGGCAAGGAAAAGCUUGCUGGCGGCAGCAAGAUGACGACGCACGGCUUGGGAGGGACAGAGCGGCAUGGAAUGAAACAAUUCACGUCCUUGGUGGCAUGUUUUGAAAGUGUUGCGAAUUGAGUGGCACAUCCUGAAGGUGGUGCAAAUCGAAUGGCAUCUUCUAAAAAUUCUCCUAAACCAUUUGUAAUAUGUGAUAAUACAAAUGCCGGCAUGUUUGCAAUGGAAAAAGAUACAAUUGCGUAUGUAAAUCGGGACAUGUUUAUAUGUGUUUUUAAGUGAGACCGUCAUAAAUUUUAAUAUCGAUUCGUCAGUUC